Molecule: ribosomal RNA, 468 nt
Filed under: uncultured bacterium
Lineage: Bacteria
Description: partial 16S ribosomal RNA
Rfam family: Bacterial small subunit ribosomal RNA
Source: RNAcentral
GACGAACGCUGGCGGCGUGCUUAACACAUGCAAGUCGAACGGAAAGGCCCUGCUUUUGUGGGGUGCUCGAGUGGCGAACGGGUGAGUAACACGUGAGUAACCUGCCCUUGACUUUGGGAUAACUUCAGGAAACUGGGGCUAAUACCGGAUAGGAGCUCCUGCUGCAUGGUGGGGGUUGGAAAGUUUCGGCGGUUGGGGAUGGACUCGCGGCUUAUCAGCUUGUUGGUGGGGUAGUGGCUUACCAAGGCUUUGACGGGUAGCCGGCCUGAGAGGGUGACCGGCCACCAUGGGGCCGAGGUUAUGCCCCAGAUUCUUACGGAAGCCGGAAGGGGGGAUUAUUACCCAAUGGACGAACGCCUGAUGCAGAACCCCCGCGUGGGGAGUGCCGACCUUCGGUUUGUAAACCGUUUUGCCCUGUAACAACGCUUGGGUGCCGGUAAUGGUUAAGGAACCACCGCCUACCUCCGU